AGUGAACGCUGGCGGUAGGCCUAACACAUGCAAGUCGAACGGCAGCACAGUAAGAGCUUGCUCUUACGGGUGGCGAGUGGCGGACGGGUGAGGAAUACAUCGGAAUCUACUUUUUCGUGGGGGAUAACGUAGGGAAACUUACGCUAAUACCGCAUACGACCUACGGGUGAAAGCAGGGGAUCUUCGGACCUUGCGCGAUUGAAUGAGCCGAUGUCGGAUUAGCUAGUUGGCGGGGUAAAGGCCCACCAAGGCGACGAUCCGUAGCUGGUCUGAGAGGAUGAUCAGCCACACUGGAACUGAGACACGGUCCAGACUCCUACGGGAGGCAGCAGUGGGGAAGAUUGGACAAAGGGCGCAAGCCUGAUCCAGCCAUACCGCGUGGGUGAAGAAGGCCUUCGGGUUGUAAAGCCCUUUUGUUGGGAAAGAAAAGCAGCAGGUUAAUACCCCGCUGUUCUGACGGUACCCAAAGAAUAAGCACCGGCUAACUUCGUG
RNAcentral lists this ribosomal RNA (492 nucleotides) under uncultured bacterium. RNAcentral's name for it is "partial 16S ribosomal RNA". It matches the Rfam family "Bacterial small subunit ribosomal RNA", at positions 29 to 507 of the family's 1533-position model. The record is from RNAcentral.